CUCUCUCUCCCUCUCUUUGUCUGUCCAUCCGUCUCCCCCCCCCCUCCUCACGAGUGGCUGUUUUUGUGGAUUGAUCUCCCGCUGUUGUCAUAGCGACAGUGAUGCAGACCGCCCGAAGUGUGUGUGUGUGUGUGUGUGUGUGUGUGUGUGUGUGUGUGUGUGUGUGUGUGUGUGUGUGUGUGUGUGUGUGUGUGUGUGUGUGUGUGUUGGUUGGGUCUCUUUAAAAAUGGUCUUUUUCUUUGCUCUCAGAGCUUUGGGAGAAAGGUCAUGAAAAUGUUGCAGAGGAUUAAAAAGGUGAUAAUUUUGAGGAAUUAGUUUGUGUCUGUGUGUCGGUCAGGACUUAAAAGCGAAUGGCUGGUUGGUUACAGAGAGAGUGGUGGACUUGCUUUGGAUUUGAGUAUAAUGAGUCUAUAUUUAAAGCCGUGUGUGCGAGCUUGUGCCUGUGUGUUUUAGAAAGUGACUCAUCAUUUGUAUUUGUGCACGUACAGUAACCCAACACCCAACCCAACCCAGCGGAGGACCGGACCAACACUCAUUAUUCUCUCUACCUCUCACUGGGCCUGCCUUCUUUCAUUCUUGCUUAUGAAUGUUCAUUUCUCGCUUUUGCUUUUUUUUUGUUGUCUUUUUAUAUACUUCUUUCCUUUCGAGCUUUCUACCCCACGUUGUUCUCUUUCAUCCCUCUAAAAUGUCUUUUGUACUUACUCGUCUUUACUUACUCACCUCUCUCCGUGCAGCCACUGUUGCAGUCGUGUGUCGUAUGCGGUUAAACCCAAAAAGGAUCGUGUGUCUCAGCGAAACCACUUUGUCACUUCCCCCUCAGCUCCAGGUCAUGCGAGGUCACCUCAGCCUCCAUUGUGACUCCAAUACUAUGUUCAGUUGCACUGAAUGUGAGGAUGCAAUACACACACACAGUCUGACUGCACUCUGUACGUAACAGCUUACAUGUGAAGUCAUUGACCUUGUGGUUUUAAUUCUUACACAUUUUGGAUUUUCUGUUGUUAGAGUGAUCUUGCUUUUUCUAAGCAGGUGGAUGUUAUUACUCUCGAGCAAGAUUUUAAUUAAUACUUCACCAUUCGUGACUGCAAAUCAAGUUGAUUUUGACAAAACAAGAAAAGAACAAAAACAUUAAAAGAAACGGAAAAGGCCAUUCUGUGAAAUAAAGGAGGAAAUAGUCCAAUGAGCACUUCUUCGUAUUUGGCGGCUCCUUAUUGUCCCUUUCACACAUACAGUAUAUCCCUGAAAUGUUCAGGAACAUUUCCUGCAUGGGGUCAUGUGUGAAUGGGAGUAGGGAUAGAUAUUUAGGGAAUUCUGUACCGCCAAUCUCUCACCUGAAGACAUUUCAGGGAAAAAUGGUACGGCUGUGUUUUGAAUGAGAGAAGUAAGAUUCAGAAGAUUCGAAAGACGAUUCCGCAUUGCGAACCAAUUACAAUUCUCCACUGCUGUCCUAUUUGAAUCUAGACUUGUUUACGGUUUAGCAUUUACACCAAUGCUUAUGCGGGUGAUUUAAUAAUAAAGUCACAAGAACAUUGGCAACAGCUCCUUCGGGUCG
Anarrhichthys ocellatus (wolf-eel) is the source of this 1549-nucleotide long non-coding RNA. RefSeq lists it as uncharacterized. Lineage: Eukaryota; Metazoa; Chordata; Actinopteri; Perciformes; Anarhichadidae. The record is from RefSeq and is a predicted model, not a curated record. The transcript has 2 exons.